AUGAUGGCAUUUAUGAAGAACACCACGGUGCUGUGUUGGAUAGCUAUUAUUCUCAUGUCCAUCAAUUCCUUGUCCAGCCAUGCUGCUGCGAGGAGCACACAUACGAUGGACUUUGGACCUAUUCUUGGGUGUGUAAAGACGGAAACAAAAUGUUCGGUCGUUGGGUGCACGAAGAUAUGUUCCGACCUUGGCUGGAAUACCCACAGAUGCUAUUGUGCCGAUGCUGGCAGUUGCUGCCACUAUGCGGAUGGAAGGCCAUUAAAUUGA
This 267-nucleotide ribosomal RNA is filed under the name Triticum aestivum (bread wheat). Its description in RNAcentral is "partial small subunit ribosomal RNA". The record is from RNAcentral. Lineage: Eukaryota; Viridiplantae; Streptophyta; Magnoliopsida; Poales; Poaceae.